Vitis riparia (riverbank grape) is the source of this 1224-nucleotide RNA transcript. RefSeq lists it as uncharacterized. NCBI's taxonomy places the organism in Eukaryota, Viridiplantae, Streptophyta, Magnoliopsida, Vitales, Vitaceae. The transcript has 7 exons. The record is from RefSeq and is a predicted model, not a curated record.
UACCGUCAACACGUUCGUAAAUCUCAGCACAAAGAAACCCAAAACCAACCGAAGAAGAAGAAGAAGAGGAGCAACAGAGAGAAAGCCAUGGAUUUAUGGCUCAAAGCUCGAAGCUUCGCGGAAGAAGCCGCGAAGCGAUCCCAAGAACUGACCAUUGGAACCACUAAAAUCUCCGAUAUCGUCUCCGAAACGGCGAAGAGAUCAAAGGAGAUUGCCUCAGAAACGGCUAAGAGAUCUAAGGAGAUUGCCUCGGAAACGGCAAAGCGAUCAAAAGAAAUUGCCGUGGAGGCUUCAAAGAGAGCCGACCAGAUCAAGAUUGAAGCCCUUAAAGGAGCCGACAAGAUCAAGUUGCUCGCGGAUGGGAUCUCUCCGUCCGUUCGUUCCUCGCCGGAGACAGAGGCUUCGGAUCUGGAGAAGUUCGGUGUUACUGAUGAGUUGAGGGAGUUCGUGAAGGGAAUUACUAUGAAUACAUUUCAGGAUUUCCCUUUGGAAGAUGAUACAGAGAUGUCUGAUGUGCCAACAGUCUCAAAUGUUCGGCAGGAUCUUACACAAUGGCAAGAAAGGCAUGCCAAUCUUGUUCUCUCAACAGUCAAGGAAGUUUCAAUGCUAAGAUAUGAGUUAUGCCCACGUUUUAUGAAAGAAAGGAAGUUCUGGAGGAUAUAUUUCAUAUUAGUGAACAGUCAUGUGGCUCCGUAUGAGAAGCAGUACAUGGAGGAUGUAAAGCUAAAGUCUGCAGAAGAAGAAAAAGAAGAUAAUGUGAAGGAAAUUCCAAAAGCUGGAACAACUGUUAAAGUAGAGGCAAAGGAAUCAAACAAGCAAAGCAGAACUUCAACCUCAUCUGCUACAGAACAGGACUUGGAUGUAUUUCUCCUGGGAGAUCUUGGAGACAGUGAUGAGGGCCCAGAUGAUGGUGAUGAAGGCUUUGACGACGAUUUUGACAAGAUAGUGAAUAGUUCGGAUGACGAAAAGGAGAAAUUGUAAAAGUAUGCAACUUAAUAUGUUAAGAUCUUUUCUACGUAUCCGAUAAAGGUGAUGAAGGAGAAAAGGACAAUGCAAUUUAACAGACAAUGGGCGUGGCAUUAUUUUAAUGUAAAGCAACAUAUUUAUGACAGAACUCUCUCUGUUAAGUGUAAUCUUCAUUCAAUUUCAGGAUGUGCAUUUUACAUGUCGAGAAAAUUGUUUGACGGUAGUCUAAUUGAGUGUUUAUCGAAGGGAUUGCAAUGA